This 582-nucleotide long non-coding RNA is filed under the name Ficedula albicollis (Collared flycatcher). Its description in RNAcentral is "lncRNA (ENSFALG00000021823.2)". The record is from RNAcentral. Lineage: Eukaryota; Metazoa; Chordata; Aves; Passeriformes; Muscicapidae.
GUGUGAGUGAGAGACUUUCACUCAAUGUACUUGACACGAAGAGAUGCUGCCAUGCUGAAGUCCUGCAGCAGUGUGAGAGGCCUGGAACUUGUCCUCUGCACCCUCAUGCUGUCAGCAGCCAGGUGAAACGGGACAGGUGCUGCUGCUUCCUGGCACAUUUGAUGGCUGGGAUGCAUCUUUCUGAGGAGCUGCCAGAAGAAUGGCAAAGGAUAAAGCUGAAGGUGUCCAAAAGCCUGCAAGCCAGUAACAUGAGCUGAGAUCUGUGAAUGAAAGCAGUCUUCUGGAUGAAAUUGCCUUGAUUUGGCAAAGAGAUUGUCCUGUGGAGAGAGGAUCCCAUGCUGGAGCAGUCUGUCCCUGAAGGACUGCACCCUGUAGCCCCUGGACUGAACGACUCUCCAUGGCUCAGGCAGAGAAAGCAGAGAACUUAUGCUGCCUGAAGAUGGUAUGGAAUCUCUCUCUGCUAUGCAACUUCACACAGCCCCAGUUUUCCAUAAUGCAAGAGAAGGGAACACCGUCACACUGAAUGGCUUCACACCAAACGGAGAACAGAGAAAAUGCUUUCACCUAAGACAAGAUGAAUAA